Molecule: ribosomal RNA, 448 nt
Filed under: uncultured bacterium
Lineage: Bacteria
Description: bacterial SSU rRNA
Rfam family: Bacterial small subunit ribosomal RNA
Source: RNAcentral
CGCCAGACUCCUACGGGAGGCAGCAGUGGGGAAUAUUGCACAAUGGGGGAAACCCUGAUGCAGCGACGCCGCGUGAGUGAAGAAGUAUUUCGGUAUGUAAAGCUCUAUCAGCAGGGAAGAAAAUGACGGUACCUGAUUAAGAAGCCCCGGCUAACUACGUGCCAGCAGCCGCGGUAAUACGUAGGGGGCAAGCGUUAUCCGGAUUUACUGGGUGUAAAGGGAGCGUAGACGGUGAUGCAAGUCAGAAGUGAAAGCCCGGGGCUCAACUCCGGGACUGCUUUUGAAACUGUGUGACUGGAGUGCAGGAGAGGUAAGCGGAAUUCCUAGUGUAGCGGUGAAAUGCGUAGAUAUUAGGAGGAACACCAGUGGCGAAGGCGGCUUACUGGACUGUAACUGACGUUGAGGCUCGAAAGCGUGGGGAGCAAACAGGAUUAGAUACCCUAGUAAG